This 484-nucleotide ribosomal RNA is filed under the name uncultured bacterium. RNAcentral describes it as "partial 16S ribosomal RNA". It matches the Rfam family "Bacterial small subunit ribosomal RNA", at positions 30 to 507 of the family's 1533-position model. The record is from RNAcentral.
AUUGAACGCUGGCGGCAUGCCUUACACAUGCAAGUCGAACGGUAACGGGUCCUUCGGGAUGCCGACGAGUGGCGAACGGGUGAGUAAUAUAUCGGAACGUGCCCAGUAGUGGGGGAUAACUGCUCGAAAGAGCAGCUAAUACCGCAUACGACCUGAGGGUGAAAGGGGGGGAUCGCAAGACCUCUCGCUAUUGGAGCGGCCGAUAUCAGAUUAGCUAGUUGGUGGGGUAAAGGCCUACCAAGGCAACGAUCUGUAGUUGGUCUGAGAGGACGACCAGCCGCACUGGGACUGAGACACGGCCCAGACUCCUACGGGAGGCAGCAGUGGGGAAUUUUGGACAAUGGGCGCAAGCCUGAUCCAGCAAUGCCGCGUGCAGGAAGAAGGCCUUCGGGUUGUAAACUGCUUUUGUCAGGGAAGAAAUCUUCUGGGCUAAUACCCCGGGAGGAUGACGGUACCUGAAGAAUAAGCACCGGCUAACUACGUG